AUUGAACGCUGGCGGCGUGCCUAACACAUGCAAGUCGAGCGGUAACAGGUGUAGCAAUACAUGCUGACGAGCGGCGGACGGGUGAGUAACGCUUGGGAAUCUGCCUAUUAGUGGGGGACAACCCGGGGAAACUCGGGCUAAUACCGCAUACGCUCUACGGAGGAAAGCCGGGGACCGCAAGGCCUGGCGCUAAUAGAUGAGCCCAAGUCGGAUUAGCUAGUUGGUAGGUAANGGCCUACCAAGGCGACGAUCCGUAACUGGUCUGAGAGGACGACCAGUCACACCGGAACUGAGACACGGUCCGGACUCCUACGGGAGCAGCAGUGGGAUAUUGACAAUGGGCAAAGCCUGAUCCAGCGACGCCGCGUGGGUGAAGAAGGCCUGCGGGUUGUAAA
RNAcentral lists this ribosomal RNA (395 nucleotides) under uncultured bacterium. Its description in RNAcentral is "bacterial SSU rRNA". It matches the Rfam family "Bacterial small subunit ribosomal RNA", at positions 29 to 429 of the family's 1533-position model. The record is from RNAcentral.